This 480-nucleotide ribosomal RNA is filed under the name uncultured bacterium. Its description in RNAcentral is "bacterial SSU rRNA". It matches the Rfam family "Bacterial small subunit ribosomal RNA", at positions 28 to 506 of the family's 1533-position model. The record is from RNAcentral.
GACGAACGCUGGCGGCGUGCCUAACACAUGCAAGUCAACUUGACUGAAGGAGCAAUCUGACAGUAGAGUGGCGCAAGGGUGCGUAACGCGUAAGUAACUUGCCCCAAGGUAAGGAAUAACGUCGAGAAAUCGGCGCUAAUACCUCAUAAUGCAGCGGAUCCGCAUGGAUAUGUUGUUAAAGGUUUACCGCCUUGGGAUAGGCUUGCGUCUGAUUAGUUAGUUGGUGUGGUAACGGCACACCAAGGCUACGAUCAGUAACUGGUCUGAGAGGAUGAUCAGUCACACUGGAAACUGAGACACGGUCCAGACUCCUACGGGAGGCAGCAGUGAGGAAUAUUGGGCAAUGCUCGAAAGAGUGACCCAGCAACGCCGCGUGGAGGAUGAAGGUAUUCUAUAUCGUAAACUCCUGUGAGAGCAGACGAAAGACAGAUUAUUAAUCUGGAUGACUGUAUGCUCAGAGGAAGCCCCGGCUAACUACGU